Long non-coding RNA from Halichondria panicea, 1394 nucleotides. RefSeq lists it as uncharacterized. The record is from RefSeq and is a predicted model, not a curated record. The transcript has 15 exons. NCBI's taxonomy places the organism in Eukaryota, Metazoa, Porifera, Demospongiae, Suberitida, Halichondriidae.
CUACACAGCCAAAAAUCCACAGGCCUGUUUCAGGCCCGUGGGGAAAAUCAGUUGAAUACAGGCCGGAAUACGGGCCUGUAUGCGGAUGUAAUCGCCCACGGCCCGCUUACAUCCUGGAACCACAGGCCUGUUACAGCACGUACAUCCUGUCCUGAAUACGGACCGUAAAUAACGGGCCUGUUUCAGCCUGUACCACCCACGUCCUGCUUACAGCCUGUGCAGCCAGUGUAUGCGCAUGCGCAGAGAGAAAGUUGCUUAGCUACGAAAUCCACCAAGAGACUGAAAAGGUGCUUCAGUUUGAUGUUCUCGUUCAGUUGCAGCUUUAAAGGAUGGAUGGAGUAAUUAUAUUAUUUAUGGAGCUGACUGCCAAGGCCAGCUAGCAAGAAAAGAGAGAGAGAGGAACUGCUAGAUGUCUCUGCAAUUCUUCUUUCACUGUCUCUAGGAGUCUAGCUCUAUAGGCUACAAGAUCUGGUUGCCUCUGACGCAGGUUGUUGACUUCUUCUACAACGUUUAAUAUAAGAAUACACAUCUAAAAAGGACCUCUACAACGACUACUAUAUAAAUGUACCUGUGUCUAUGUCAUCAUUACUGUACUGAUGAGCUCGAGAUUGAGGUUCCUUGUCACACUACUUGAGAAUAUGUACAUAUAUAAAUUGGAAUGCUCAUGCCAUCAAUGAUUUCAACCCAUCAUGACCAGAAGCAUCGUGGACACACCUAUACUUUAGGAACUAUCAGAAUUUGGCAGUUAAGUUACUGGCUGUGGACAUGGCUGGUCUGUGACAGUACAAACAGUCAAACAAAAAAUGUAUAAUGUGACAGAGGACAUGGCUGGUCUGUGGACAGUACGAACAGUCGAACAACACAUUAUAUUGUGACAGAGGACAUGGCUGGUCUGUGGACAGUACGAACAGUCGAACAACACAUUAUAUUGGUAAGAAACAUUAUUUUCUUUGCAACGAUAUUCACUAUAUACACAGUGACAGAGGACAUGGCUGGUCUGUGGACAGUACGAACAGUCGAACAACACAUUAUAUUGUGACAGAGGACAUGGCUGGUCUGUGGACAGUACGAACAGUCGAACAACACAUUAUAUUGUGACAGAGGACAUGGCUGGUCUGUGGACAGUACGAACAGUCGAACAACACAUUAUAUUGUGACAGAGGACAUGGCUGGUCUGUGGACAGUACGAACAGUCGAACAACACAUUAUAUUGUGUGACAGAGGACAUGGCUGGUAGUACAAACAGUCAAACAGAAAAUUUAUAAAUUGACACACUCGAGCAGCACAAGCACUAGAAGAAACAUUCCUAUUAGUGUUGUAAACUGUCGAACUGUCUGGCUAUGUUUGUUUCUUAAAAAUUUUAACACUUCGUUGAAUUAUUCAUGCCAAACUCA